Molecule: ribosomal RNA, 2900 nt
Filed under: Klebsiella pneumoniae
Lineage: Bacteria; Pseudomonadati; Pseudomonadota; Gammaproteobacteria; Enterobacterales; Enterobacteriaceae
Description: bacterial LSU rRNA
Rfam family: Bacterial large subunit ribosomal RNA
Source: RNAcentral
UUAAGCGACUAAGCGUACACGGUGGAUGCCCUGGCAGUCAGAGGCGAUGAAGGACGUGCUAAUCUGCGAAAAGCGUCGGUAAGGUGAUAUGAACCGUUAUAGCCGGCGAUGUCCGAAUGGGGAAACCCAGUGUGAUUCGUCACACUAUCGUUAACUGAAUACAUAGGUUAACGAGGCGAACCGGGGGAACUGAAACAUCUAAGUACCCCGAGGAAAAGAAAUCAACCGAGAUUCCCCCAGUAGCGGCGAGCGAACGGGGAGCAGCCCAGAGUCUGAAUCAGCUUGUGUGUUAGUGGAACGGUCUGGAAAGUCCGACGGUACAGGGUGAUAGUCCCGUACACCAAAAUGCACAGGUUGUGAACUCGAAGAGUAGGGCGGGACACGUGGUAUCCUGUCUGAAUAUGGGGGGACCAUCCUCCAAGGCUAAAUACUCCUGACUGACCGAUAGUGAACCAGUACCGUGAGGGAAAGGCGAAAAGAACCCCGGCGAGGGGAGUGAAAAAGAACCUGAAACCGUGUACGUACAAGCAGUGGGAGCACCUUCGGGUGUGACUGCGUACCUUUUGUAUAAUGGGUCAGCGACUUAUAUUCUGUAGCAAGGUUAACCGUAUAGGGGAGCCGCAGGGAAACCGAGUCUUAACUGGGCGUUAAGUUGCAGGGUAUAGACCCGAAACCCGGUGAUCUAGCCAUGGGCAGGUUGAAGGUUGGGUAACACUAACUGGAGGACCGAACCGACUAAUGUUGAAAAAUUAGCGGAUGACUUGUGGCUGGGGGUGAAAGGCCAAUCAAACCGGGAGAUAGCUGGUUCUCCCCGAAAGCUAUUUAGGUAGCGCCUCGUGAACUCAUCUUCGGGGGUAGAGCACUGUUUCGGCUAGGGGGUCAUCCCGACUUACCAACCCGAUGCAAACUACGAAUACCGAAGAAUGUUAUCACGGGAGACACACGGCGGGUGCUAACGUCCGUCGUGAAGAGGGAAACAACCCAGACCGCCAGCUAAGGUCCCAAAGUCAUGGUUAAGUGGGAAACGAUGUGGGAAGGCACAGACAGCCAGGAUGUUGGCUUAGAAGCAGCCAUCAUUUAAAGAAAGCGUAAUAGCUCACUGGUCGAGUCGGCCUGCGCGGAAGAUGUAACGGGGCUAAACCAUGCACCGAAGCUGCGGCAGCGACACUAUGUGUUGUUGGGUAGGGGAGCGUUCUGUAAGCCUGCGAAGGUGACCUGUGAGGGUUGCUGGAGGUAUCAGAAGUGCGAAUGCUGACAUAAGUAACGAUAAAGCGGGUGAAAAGCCCGCUCGCCGGAAGACCAAGGGUUCCUGUCCAACGUUAAUCGGGGCAGGGUGAGUCGACCCCUAAGGCGAGGCCGAAAGGCGUAGUCGAUGGGAAACAGGUUAAUAUUCCUGUACUUGGUGUUACUGCGAAGGGGGGACGGAGAAGGCUAUGUUAGCCGGGCGACGGUUGUCCCGGUUUAAGCAUGUAGGCUGGUUGUCCAGGCAAAUCCGGAUAAUCAAGGCUGAGGUGUGAUGACGAGGCACUACGGUGCUGAAGUAACAAAUGCCCUGCUUCCAGGAAAAGCCUCUAAGCAUCAGGUAACAUUAAAUCGUACCCCAAACCGACACAGGUGGUCAGGUAGAGAAUACCAAGGCGCUUGAGAGAACUCGGGUGAAGGAACUAGGCAAAAUGGUGCCGUAACUUCGGGAGAAGGCACGCUGGUGUGUAGGUGAAGUCCCUGCGGAUGGAGCUGAGACCAGUCGAAGAUACCAGCUGGCUGCAACUGUUUAUUAAAAACACAGCACUGUGCAAACACGAAAGUGGACGUAUACGGUGUGACGCCUGCCCGGUGCCGGAAGGUUAAUUGAUGGGGUUAUCCGUAAGGAGAAGCUCUUGAUCGAAGCCCCGGUAAACGGCGGCCGUAACUAUAACGGUCCUAAGGUAGCGAAAUUCCUUGUCGGGUAAGUUCCGACCUGCACGAAUGGCGUAAUGAUGGCCAGGCUGUCUCCACCCGAGACUCAGUGAAAUUGAACUCGCUGUGAAGAUGCAGUGUACCCGCGGCAAGACGGAAAGACCCCGUGAACCUUUACUAUAGCUUGACACUGAACAUUGAGCCUUGAUGUGUAGGAUAGGUGGGAGGCUUUGAAGCGUGGACGCCAGUCUGCGUGGAGCCAACCUUGAAAUACCACCCUUUAAUGUUUGAUGUUCUAACGUUGGCCCCUGACCGGGGUUGCGGACAGUGUCUGGUGGGUAGUUUGACUGGGGCGGUCUCCUCCCAAAGCGUAACGGAGGAGCACGAAGGUUAGCUAAUCCUGGUCGGACAUCAGGAGGUUAGUGCAAUGGCAUAAGCUAGCUUGACUGCGAGCGUGACGGCGCGAGCAGGUGCGAAAGCAGGUCAUAGUGAUCCGGUGGUUCUGAAUGGAAGGGCCAUCGCUCAACGGAUAAAAGGUACUCCGGGGAUAACAGGCUGAUACCGCCCAAGAGUUCAUAUCGACGGCGGUGUUUGGCACCUCGAUGUCGGCUCAUCACAUCCUGGGGCUGAAGUAGGUCCCAAGGGUAUGGCUGUUCGCCAUUUAAAGUGGUACGCGAGCUGGGUUUAGAACGUCGUGAGACAGUUCGGUCCCUAUCUGCCGUGGGCGCUGGAGAAUUGAGGGGGGCUGCUCCUAGUACGAGAGGACCGGAGUGGACGCAUCACUGGUGUUCGGGUUGUCAUGCCAAUGGCACUGCCCGGUAGCUAAAUGCGGAAGAGAUAAGUGCUGAAAGCAUCUAAGCACGAAACUUGCCCCGAGAUGAGUUCUCCCUGAGACUAUAAGUCUCCUGAAGGAACGUUAAAGACGAUGACGUUGAUAGGCCGGGUGUGUAAGCGCAGCGAUGCGUUGAGCUAACCGGUACUAAUGAACCGUGAGGCUUAACCUU